UACGUAGGGGGCAAGCGUUGUCCGGAUUUAUUGGGCGUAAAGAGCGUGUAGGCGGCCAGACAGGUCUGCUGUGAAAACUCGAGGCUCAACCUCGAGAUGUCGGCGGAAACCGUCUGGCUAGAGUCCGGAAGAGGAGAGUGGAAUUCCUGGUGUAGCGGUGAAAUGCGCAGAUAUCAGGAAGAACACCUAUGGCGAAGGCAGCUCUCUGGGACGGUACUGACGCUGAGACGCGAAAGCGUGGGGAGCGAACAGG
This 253-nucleotide ribosomal RNA is filed under the name uncultured bacterium. RNAcentral describes it as "partial 16S ribosomal RNA". It matches the Rfam family "Bacterial small subunit ribosomal RNA", at positions 524 to 776 of the family's 1533-position model. RNAcentral also lists the same sequence under 1 other name. The record is from RNAcentral.